GAUGAACGCUGGCGGCGUGCCUAAUACAUGCAAGUCGAGCGAACAGACGAGGAGCUUGCUCCUCUGAUGUUAGCGGCGGACGUGUGAGUAACACGUGGAUAACCUACCUAUAAGACUGGGAUAACUUCGGGAAACCGGAGCUAAUACCGGAUAACAUGUUGAACCGCAUGGUUCAACAGUGAAAGACGGUCUUGCUGUCACUUAUAGAUGGAUCCGCGCCGCAUUAGCUAGUUGGUAAGGUAACGGCUUACCAAGGCAACGAUGCGUAGCCGACCUGAGAGGGUGAUAGGCCACACUGGAACGGAGACACGGUCCAGACUCCUACGGGAGGAAGCAGUAGGGAAUCGUCCGCAAUGGGCGAAAGCCUGACGGAGCAACGCCGCGUGAGUGAAGAAGGUCUUCGGAUCGUAAAACUCUGUUAUUAGGGAAGAACAAAUGUGUAAGUAAAUAUGCACGUCUUGACGGUACCUAAUCAGAAAGCAACGGCUAACUACGUG
This 497-nucleotide ribosomal RNA is filed under the name uncultured bacterium. Its description in RNAcentral is "partial 16S ribosomal RNA". It matches the Rfam family "Bacterial small subunit ribosomal RNA", at positions 28 to 507 of the family's 1533-position model. The record is from RNAcentral.